AUGGUCGGCCCUUCGCCCAGCAAUCCGGACCACAUCAACUACAUGAUCUACCGUGUCCGUGCCGGCAUCAGCAAGCUUGAGGCGCUCCCCGCCCACCCCACCCGCUUGUUCGCCGACUGGUCACUUGCCCUCCUGCGCUGCCGCUGCCCGGACGACGGCAGGUUCUUGGUCGCCAAUCUCCGUUCGACUUACACCCGUGGGCAGUACGCCCUCGACCUGUUCGACUCCGGGUCAGGCACAUGGAGCACCAGGCCGAUGCGUGCUGAGUCGCCAGAGGACUGCUACUUCCGUACUCCAACCAAGGUGAUCGCCCUCGGUGGCGACCGCGGUUCAAUCGGCUGGGUCGGCCUCUGGCAUGGAAUCCUCAUCGGUGAUCUGCUCCCCAGCGGCGGGGACGAUGACGACGUCCUCCGCUUCAUCCCUUUGCCCAUGCUUUCGGCGCCCAACAAGAUGAUCCCAGGCCCUUUGUGCUGUGACCGGGACGUCUCCGUCGGCGGCGACGGUUGCAUCAAAUAUUCAGAGGUGUGGGCUCAUCCCGUGCCCGGCUCGCGUCGCGCCACCUACAUCUCCGAGGACUGGGGUGCCGCCAUACUGACAUGGCUGGAGCCCAAGAAGAAGUGGCACAUCGACCUCAGCCUCAAAGCCUCGGACAUCAUCUUGGACGACAGUCACUCCCGGUUGCUUCCUCGUCAUGAUGCCAAGGCCACAAUGGAGAGUCCAACUACCUUGAGCAGACUCCACACAGGGCAUCCUGCUCUCAGCUUGCAUGAUGAUGAUGUUGUUUACAUCACGGCCAAGGUUGACCACUUGGACGACGAUUUGUGGAUGCUUGCUCUUGACAUGAGGAACAAGACUCUGAAAGGAGUGGCUGCUCUCACCAGUAAAAGAACCUUGGGUUUUAGAUUCAUGUACUUGCAAAGUGACCUCUCCAACCAUCUGGUGCGCGCAAGCAGAACAACAGAGGUCUCCAACCAUUUGGUGGCCACAAGCAAAAGCAAAAGGUCCUCUCGCAGAAAGAAGAGUAAUGCUGCUAAAACUGGCAAGCAAGAAGCUGUGAAGACUCUUGCUAACAGCUGUCGUGUGGAUGCUGAUGCGACGACUUGGCGGGAAGGGAAACAUUUUCUGCGGGUUGCGGAACAAGAAGAACAGGAGCUGACGAUAAUCAAGCCUUUUCAAGGAUAA
This 1182-nucleotide ribosomal RNA is filed under the name Triticum aestivum (bread wheat). RNAcentral's name for it is "partial small subunit ribosomal RNA". Lineage: Eukaryota; Viridiplantae; Streptophyta; Magnoliopsida; Poales; Poaceae. The record is from RNAcentral.